UCCGGUUCAUCACCGGCAGUCUUCUUAAAGUUCCCAGCUUUACCUGUUGGCAAUUAAGAAUAGGGGUUGCGCUCGUUACGGGACUUAACCCAACAUCUCACAACACGAGCUGACGACAGCCAUGCAGCACCUGUCUCCUAGCUCCUUGUGGCACUUCGACAUUUCUAUCGAAUUCCAGGGAUUCAAGAGUAGGUAAGGUUUUGCGCGUUGCAUCGAAUUAAACCACAUGCUCCACCGCUUGUGCGGGCCCCCGUCAAUUCCUUUGAGUUUUAACCUUGCGGCCGUACUCCCCAGGCGGAGAACUUAUCGCGUUAGCUUCGCUACUAAAACCCUAUAGGUUACAACAGCAAGUUCUCAUCGUUUACAGCAUGGACUAC
This 377-nucleotide unclassified non-coding RNA is filed under the name uncultured Gammaproteobacteria bacterium. Its description in RNAcentral is "contains 16S-23S intergenic spacer region". The record is from RNAcentral. Lineage: Bacteria; Pseudomonadati; Pseudomonadota; Gammaproteobacteria.